Non-coding RNA from Oryzias latipes (Japanese medaka), 2327 nucleotides. The record is from RefSeq and is a predicted model, not a curated record. NCBI's taxonomy places the organism in Eukaryota, Metazoa, Chordata, Actinopteri, Beloniformes, Adrianichthyidae.
CUCCUGGUAGCCGCGGAGAGAUAGGCGAGACGGGUUUACAUAUUCAAAGGAGAUGGAAAUGACAAGAAACACGUGGACACGAGGAUCCGUUUCAUUUCGGCAGCUGGGCGUGCUGGUAUUCAUGACUCAGAGGAAGCCGGUUUGCCUGAGGAGGUGGGAUUAGUUGGAGUACUCUGUCGGAGGCCAGACGAGAGUCUUGAGCUGGAGCCAAUGAGUCACCACCGCAAACGGAAUCACGUGCACCCGGGAGAGACCCACUCCAAAAGCACAACCAGCCUCCUCUUCUCAUUUCAGUCAUGCAACAAUGAGGACGAACAGGACAUACUUUGAAAACAUUUUGGAUGCCUUCAGCUUAAACCCGUCAGCUAAAACCUGUCAGAUGUUUUUGAAAAAGCCCAAUAAUGUAAUUAGAAAGCACAAUGCAGCGUCUCUAACUACAGCUGUAAAAUCUGUUAAAUCUCAAUUUUGUUAUUUUUUUAUCCUAAAUACUGCUGAUUUUGAAUUAGACUAGAGCAUCAGCACUUGUAGAUUUAGAGGGUUUAGGCUUUUACGACAUUCCUUUUUUAGGCUUUUACGAAAUUUACGUGGCUUUUACGACAUUCUGCUGUUGAGGAUGUAGUCCAAACACAUCCCAGUAAAGCAAGCAAAGUUUAUUGAUAUAGCCCAUUUACCAGAUACAAAUCUCAGCAUUCUGCGUACACUGAAAUAAUCUUAAACAGAAUUUUAAAAAAAAGUAAACAAAUUAAGCAUAAAAAGUGUAAAACAGAAAAAGUAAAGAUGAAAAAAGUACUAUGUUUAGGAGAAAGUCAGACUAACGUCUUAACAUCAGAGUUACUUUGGAAUUUUGGUUGAUAUCUAAAGGUAUCAUCACAGAAAUAGAACCAGUUGAUUUUAAGAUUUAGAUGCUGCUGAUUCAAUGGAAUAGCCCGUGUCUUAAAGUGGAUGCAGGGCAUCACCAGCAACCUCCAGCUUGAGCACCUCAAAUUACAAGUGGGAGCACGAAACUGAACCCAACCAGAAAUGGAAGGAGCGUGCAAAGCUCUAAAAGGGAGAGUUUCAAAACCUAUUCUAAAAUUAAUUGGUGUUGAAAAUCUAAAACAAGUCAGUAACAAGUUCUCACAUGGAUGCUAUAGAUGCCCUGCAGCAGUUCUGGACAUCUGAAGGCAAGCAAAGACUUUUCUAUUGGAACACGUAACAAGAUGAAGCUUUGACAUACUCCUAAAGUGUGUGUGGGGGGGGGCACUUUUAAUGAUUGUUAGUGGUGGUGCUUUAGGGCAAUUCUGGAUCAAAAAAACACAACCCCUGCAUUUGUGAGGAGCGCUCAGUAGAACCAAAGAUGCUAAGAAACUUUUAUAUCAGGGUUAAGGCUGAGUGUAGCAAGGAUGAGUGUUUGCCUCCUGUCUGAGUCUCAGUUUAGGGAAUCUGUACUUACCACUUUUUGAUGGCAAGCAAGCUCUUCAUUAAAGAAAGUUCUUUAACAAAGCAGCUGGAUAUGAUCUGAAUAAGGGUCUAAAGACACAUUGUCAAGCUGAAUAUCUUCACCAAAGGACAUGUGGACUAAGUUGUUGGUUCUCCUCUGUAAUAAAAGAAAAGCAAUCAAAACAGAUGCGGAUAAAAUAAUAAAUCAAUAAAAAAUAUGACAAUAUUACCUUAAGAUUUGGUCUUAUGACCUUUAUGGACAAUGACUGGAACCGCUACAACCAAUUACGCUUCUGCAUCAGUCAACAGGUGUUCUGACCCACUCCUCUUCAGCAGACCACUCCAUCGUUAUUUAUUUGACAGCAUGCUUCAGCUCCUACAGAUGUUCAGUUAGCUCAGGGUUCAAAUGUCAUUUCAGAGUGGUCCAGUGUUUUGCUUUGAGCUUUUCUUGGGUGUUUUCAGCUGCUUGGAUCAUUAUCCUGUUGUAAGACUUGUGACUAGCGACAGACACAACGCUUUCUGAUGCUAGGCAGAACAUUUUACCUAAGAAUGCCUUAAUGGUCUUCAGAUUUUAUUUAGCUAAGAUUCACAUCAUGUUCCAGAUGCAGCAAGGCAGCCCAGACCACAUUUGACCCUCCUCAAUGUUUCACAGUAGGGUUAGGAUUUUUUUGUUUUGUUUCACCACCUGGUUUGUCUCAUGUGUCCGAAGGACAUUAUCAUGAUGCGUUGUGGCUCGUUUUAAAGUAUUGAGGAAAACUCCAGUCUUGCUUUGUGAUGAUUUGCUUUCAACAGAGGUGUCUUCCUGGGUCGUUUCCCAGAAAGUCCACAGAAUCUUCUGGUGAUAUGAUCUGACACUGAUACACUUUGAUCUAAGUGUUCACAUUUAAACUCUCUGUUGGUUGUUCUGA